RNAcentral lists this ribosomal RNA (504 nucleotides) under uncultured bacterium. RNAcentral describes it as "bacterial SSU rRNA". It matches the Rfam family "Bacterial small subunit ribosomal RNA", at positions 21 to 518 of the family's 1533-position model. The record is from RNAcentral.
GGCUCAGGAUAGAACGCUAGCGACAGGCUAACACAUGCAAGUCGAGGGGCAGCAUAGAAGUAGCAAUACUUGGUGGCGACCGGCGCACGGGUGAGUAACGCGUAUGCAACCUACCUAUCAGAGGGGAAUAACCCGGCGAAAGUCGGACUAAUACCGCAUAAAACAGGGGCACCGCAUGGUGAUAUUUGUUAAAGAAAUUCGCUGAUAGAUGGGCAUGCGUUCCAUUAGGUAGUUGGUGAGGUAACGGCUCACCAAGCCGACGAUGGAUAGGGAACUGAGAGGUUGGUCCCCCACACUGGUACUGAGACACGGACCAGACUCCUACGGGAGGCAGCAGUGAGGAAUAUUGGUCAAUGGGCGGGAGCCUGAACCAGCCAAGUCGCGUGAAAGGAAGAAGGAUCUAUGGUUCGUAAACUUCUUUUGCAGGGGAAUAAAGUGCAGGACGUGUCCUGUUUUGUAUGUACCCUGAGAAUAAGGAUCGGCUAACUCCGUGCCAGCAGCUGC